UGGGGAAUAUUGCACAAUGGGCGAAAGCCUGAUGCAGCAACGCCGCGUGAGGGAUGAAGGCCUUCGGGUUGUAAACCUCUUUUAGCAGGGAAGAAGCGAAAGUGACGGUACCUGCAGAAAAAGCACCGGCUAACUACGUGCCAGCAGCCGCGGUAAUACGUAGGGUGCAAGCGUUGUCCGGAAUUAUUGGGCGUAAAGAGCUCGUAGGCGGUUUGUCGCGUCUGCUGUGAAAACCCGAGGCUCAACCUCGGACCUGCAGUGGGUACGGGCAGACUAGAGUGCGGUAGGGGAGACGGGAAUUCCUGGUGUAGCGGUGGAAUGCGCAGAUAUCAGGAGGAACACCGAUGGCGAAGGCACGUCUCUGGGCCGUAACUGACGCUGAGGAGCGAAAGCGUGGGGAGCGAACAGG
This 409-nucleotide ribosomal RNA is filed under the name uncultured bacterium. RNAcentral's name for it is "bacterial SSU rRNA". It matches the Rfam family "Bacterial small subunit ribosomal RNA", at positions 355 to 776 of the family's 1533-position model. The record is from RNAcentral.